AGUGAACGCUGGCGGUAGGCCUAACACAUGCAAGUCGAACGGCAGCACAGUAAGAGCUUGCUCUUACGGGUGGCGAGUGGCGGACGGGUGAGGAAUAUAUCGGAAUCUACUUUUUCGUGGGGGAUCACGUAGGGAAACUUACGCUAAUACCGCAUACGACCUACGGGUGAAAGCAGGGGAUCUUCGGACCUUGCGCGAUUGAAUGAGCCGAUGUCGGAUUAGCUAGUUGGCGGGGUAAAGGCCCACCAAGGCGGCGAUCCGUAGCUGGUCUGAGAGGAUGGUCGGCCACACUGGAACUGAGACACGGUCCAGACUCCUACGGGAGGCAGCAGUGGGGAAUGUUGGACAAUGGGCGCAAGCCUGAUCCAGCCAUACCGCGUGGGUGAAGAAGGCCUUCGGGUUGUAAAGCCCUUUUGUUGGGAAAGAAAAGCUGCAGGUUAAUACCCAGCUGUUCUGACGGUACCCAAAGAAUAAGCACCGGCUAACUUCGUG
This 492-nucleotide ribosomal RNA is filed under the name uncultured bacterium. RNAcentral describes it as "partial 16S ribosomal RNA". It matches the Rfam family "Bacterial small subunit ribosomal RNA", at positions 29 to 507 of the family's 1533-position model. The record is from RNAcentral.